CCCUAGACAUAGCACCGAGCCACCCUAAUACUAGGAGAACUACUGCUAAAACUAGUAACUUGACACUUCUCUCUCGCACAUCCCUGCAUCGGCACGGACCACCGACAAUUACCACCCACCCCUCCCCCUGUCACCCCGACACAGGAGUGCUCCAGGCACACUGCCCUAAAAGGAACUCGGCUAAUGCCCCACCUGUUUACCAAAAACAUGGCCUUUAGCCAACAAGUAUUAAAGGUCCCGCCUGCCCAGUGAACCAAACGGCCGCGGUACCCUAACCGUGCAAAGGUAGCGUAAUCACUUGCCCCCUAAAUAGGGGCCCGUAUGAAAGGCUAAAUGAGGGCCUAACUGUCUCCUAAGGCAAGCCACUGAAACUGUUCUCUCAGUACAAAAACUGAGAUAGCCCCAUAAGACGAGAAGACCCUGUGGAGCUUUAAACUUUAAGUUGGGGCGACUACGGAGUAAAACAAAACCUCCACGAAACACCACCCCAGACCCACACCCCCAGGGUAAACCAUCAGACCCAGCACAGCUGAACACCGAACCAAGUUACCCCAGGGAUAACAGCGCCAUCCUCCUCAAGAGUCCCUAUCGCCAGGAGGGUUUACGACCUCGAUGUUGGAUCAGGACACCCAGGCGGUGUAGCCGCUGCCAACGGUUCGUUUGUUCAACGAC
Molecule: ribosomal RNA, 672 nt
Filed under: Phyllodactylus tuberculosus (yellowbelly gecko)
Lineage: Eukaryota; Metazoa; Chordata; Lepidosauria; Squamata; Phyllodactylidae
Description: partial 16S ribosomal RNA
Rfam family: Bacterial large subunit ribosomal RNA
Source: RNAcentral